Non-coding RNA from Cajanus cajan (pigeon pea), 680 nucleotides. NCBI's taxonomy places the organism in Eukaryota, Viridiplantae, Streptophyta, Magnoliopsida, Fabales, Fabaceae. The record is from RefSeq and is a predicted model, not a curated record.
AUCAGUUAUGUGUCACUCUUUCAAAGUGACUUUAGCCCGUGACUGUCCAGUAUCUUCUUAAUGACCCAUCACCACCACUUGUCGGCCAUACAAAAAAGAAAGGGAGAAUUAUGGAUACAAUUCAAACCUUAAUUAAACUCGAACAUGGUCGUGAUUCGUUAAUCUAAGACAUGUCGAACACAAUAAAUUCAUACCCAAAAAACAGUUUAUAUAAGAUGGUGGCGCCGAAUAUUGCGACAAAGUAGCUUUACUAUAUAAGUUCUAUAUUAUAUUAUGAUAUAUACUUUAUACAUUUAUAGAUGAAUUGGCCAAUUAAUAUAUUAACCUGACUUGGAGCAAUAUUAUCUGUUUUGGAUUCAUUUUCACCUCGUUGACGACCCAAGUCGUUCACCAUUGCAACAAUAGUUGAAAGCCAUAGAGGAAGGAAAGAAUCUAAAGGAUGUUCCUUGAGCACUUUUUCUGUUAUCAUGGGGCCACUUUCUUCUAUAAAUCCCCACUCCUUCAUUCAACACCACGCCACUACCACUCCCACCAUCUUGUUCUUCUUCGGGCAUUCAAGGGUAGGAGGAAAAGCUGCCGACAAAAGUUAUAUUUUGAGGUACGCAGCUUUAACAAUUUCUUCAUUAGAUUGAAAUUUCAGACACAGGUUAGGAAGCAACAAUUGCCGUACAAUAACUAGC